CCAGACUCCUACGGGAGGCAGCAGUGGGGAAUAUUGCACAAUGGGGGAAACCCUGAUGCAGCGACGCCGCGUGAGUGAAGAAGUAUUUCGGUAUGUAAAGCUCUAUCAGCAGGGAAGAAAAUGACGGUACCUGACUAAGAAGCCCCGGCUAACUACGUGCCAGCAGCCGCGGUAAUACGUAGGGGGCAAGCGUUAUCCGGAUUUACUGGGUGUAAAGGGAGCGUAGACGGCAUGGCAAGUCAGAUGUGAAAGCCCGGGGCUCAACCCCGGGACUGCAUUUGAAACUGUCAGGCUGGAGUGCUGGAGAGGUAAGCGGAAUUCCUAGUGUAGCGGUGAAAUGCGUAGAUAUUAGGAGGAACACCAGUGGCGAAGGCGGCUUACUGGACAGUAACUGACGUUGAGGCUCGAAAGCGUGGGGAGCAAACAGGAUUAGAUACCCUGGUAAAA
Molecule: ribosomal RNA, 447 nt
Filed under: uncultured bacterium
Lineage: Bacteria
Description: bacterial SSU rRNA
Rfam family: Bacterial small subunit ribosomal RNA
Source: RNAcentral